GUUGAACUACUCACACAGCCCUUAAUACUCAAAUCCAUCAUGUGCUAAUUGCUAUGGAAGUCACCGAUUCUAGAUCUAAUAAUUAUAUAUUCUUUGAUGAAAACUUAAAGCUAAUUUUUUUACCAUAACACAGCUCAUAGCUCCAUGGUGCUAGUUUUGAUGGCUUGGUUGGUAUCUUUUAAUUUUGUGCAAGACAAGACACAAUAAAACAACUGCUGCAUUACCUUUGAAUGCCCAAAACAUACCCUUAUAGUUUCAAUAAUGUACUUGUGGUUCAGCUAGCAAUUGUUUAAAAUCACUUGUGGAAGUGCGCGGGUAUUUUUGCUCGUGGAGGAAGUGGUCUUGAUCUUCUGCUGAUUAAAAACUCUUAGUUAAGCACAAAUCAUAUCAGCAUGUUUACAAGAAAUCCUAUAUAAAUUCUAUACAAUGACAUGUGUUUUCUUUCAUUUGUUCAAGUAAAAAGGCCUUAUUAUGACAAUAUUUAUUUUUCUUUUGCCCUCUUUCUGUUCAACAGUGGUGGAAGCUAAAGAUGGAACUAUUUCUUUGGCAUCUGCGUUUGCUGGUCAUCAAGAAGGUAAUGCCAGAAUUGUAAUUUAUUUCAAUUUUGUUAUUUUGUUUUACUUCUAAAUGAGUACUUUUAAGAACAGUUAAACUCCAGUCUGUUGAUAGAUUUUAGUGCUUAAGCCAUUGGUCUUAAAAAAAUUUAUCCUCUGAUCAUUGUCACAUGCUACUAUACUGUAUAUUGUGUGAAGAAACCACUCAAUCUAAAAACUCAAGAUUAUGCGUGAGAACCCAAAAAUAGUUUAAUAUCUCUAAAACUUUUAGGUAAGUGUUCCAAGAAUAGAUUUUGUUUCUCUGAUAUAGUGCACUUACAUUAUGAAAUCUUUAAUAUGAGGAAGUAACAAUAUUUAUGUAAUAGCUGUUUCAGCUAACCCAUGUCCAUUUUCUUUAACACCCUAGCAAUUUUAUCAUGCAAAUGUGCGGAGAAAGUCCAUUUUCAGCCUUGGUUCUAAUAAUUGUUUUUCUGCUCUCUUUCUUUAUGUAACUUGAGCAUGCUUCUGCUUAAUAAUUGAUGAAUUAAUUGAAUUUCUUUAUCACUCUGCUGUUAUAAAGAGAUUGUUUUCUUAAAACCACCAUUGUUGAGGUUCUUGGUAAUUAGUUAUUAUUUAAUUAAUCUUUUGGUUGUUGUUCAACCAGCUGUUCAAGAUAGAGACCACAAAUUCUUAACAAGAGCGGUUGAAGAAGCAUACAAGGGUGUUGAAUGUGGACA
RNAcentral lists this unclassified non-coding RNA (1270 nucleotides) under Hevea brasiliensis (rubber tree). Lineage: Eukaryota; Viridiplantae; Streptophyta; Magnoliopsida; Malpighiales; Euphorbiaceae. The record is from RNAcentral.